AUUGCAGGACUCUCAUUUAAACUUGAAUUUCAGAUAAACAAUAGUAUUUUUAGUAUAAGUAUAUCCCAUGUAAUAUUUGGGACAUACUUACACUAAAAUACUAUUUGUUGUUUAUCUGGAAUUCAAACAUAACUUCUUGCUGUUUUU
This 147-nucleotide microRNA precursor is filed under the name Loxodonta africana (African savanna elephant). Its description in RNAcentral is "miRNA (ENSLAFG00000023514.1)". The stretch from base 47 to 98 matches the Rfam family "mir-1302 microRNA precursor family". The record is from RNAcentral. Lineage: Eukaryota; Metazoa; Chordata; Mammalia; Proboscidea; Elephantidae.